RNAcentral lists this transfer RNA (71 nucleotides) under Deltaproteobacteria bacterium. RNAcentral's name for it is "tRNA-Gln". It matches the Rfam family "tRNA". From Rfam's summary of the family: Transfer RNA (tRNA) molecules are approximately 80 nucleotides in length. Their secondary structure includes four short double-helical elements and three loops (D, anti-codon, and T loops). The record is from RNAcentral. Lineage: Bacteria; Pseudomonadati; Myxococcota; Myxococcia.
UUCGGGAUCGUCCAACGGCAGGACGCUUGGCUCUGAACCAGGCAAUCGGGGUUCGAAUCCCUGUCCCGAAA